Molecule: small nucleolar RNA, 101 nt
Organism: Macaca fascicularis (crab-eating macaque)
Lineage: Eukaryota; Metazoa; Chordata; Mammalia; Primates; Cercopithecidae
Source: Ensembl
AUCUUUUUGUAGUUCAUGAGCACGAUGAUUGGGUGCUCACAUACAUACACGAGACGUGUCACCCUCAAACCUUGUGGCGAUGGAAUAUUACCUGUCUGACA